RNAcentral lists this ribosomal RNA (377 nucleotides) under uncultured Katablepharidophyta. RNAcentral describes it as "partial small subunit ribosomal RNA". It matches the Rfam family "Eukaryotic small subunit ribosomal RNA", at positions 30 to 422 of the family's 1831-position model. Lineage: Eukaryota; Cryptophyceae; Kathablepharidacea. The record is from RNAcentral.
GCUUGUCUCAAAGAUUAAGCCAUGCAUGUCUAAGUGUAAAUAAGUCUAUACUGUGAAACUGCGAAUGGCUCAUUAAAUCAGUUAUCGUUUAUUUGAUGAUCUCUUACUACUUGGAUAACCGUAGUAAUUCUAGAGCUAAUACAUGCACAAAAUCCCGACUUACGAAGGGAUGUAUUUAUUAGAUACAAACCAACAUCGUGGUGAUUCAUAAUAACUUUGCGAAUCGCAUGGCCUUGUGCCGGCGAUGAAUCAUUCAAAUUUCUGCCCUAUCAACUUUCGAUGGUAAGGUAUUGGCUUACCAUGGUUGCAACGGGUGACGGGGAAUUAGGGUUCGAUUCCGGAGAGGGAGCCUGAGAAAUGGCUACCACAUCCAAGGA